Molecule: ribosomal RNA, 425 nt
Filed under: uncultured bacterium
Lineage: Bacteria
Description: partial 16S ribosomal RNA
Rfam family: Bacterial small subunit ribosomal RNA
Source: RNAcentral
GUGGGGAAUCUUGCGCAAUGGGCGAAAGCCUGACGCAGCCAUGCCGCGUGAAUGAUGAAGGUCUUAGGAUUGUAAAAUUCUUUCACCGGGGACGAUAAUGACGGUACCCGGAGAAGAAGCUCCGGCUAACUUCGUGCCAGCAGCCGCGGUAAUACGAAGGGGGCUAGCGUUGCUCGGAUUUACUGGGCGUAAAGGGCGCGUAGGCGGACAUUUAAGUCAGGGGUGAAAUCCCGGGGCUCAACCUCGGAACUGCCUUUGAUACUGGGUGUCUUGAGUAUGAGAGAGGUGUGUGGAACUCCGAGUGUAGAGGUGAAAUUCGUAGAUAUUCGGAAGAACACCAGUGGCGAAGGCGACACACUGGCUCAUUACUGACGCUGAGGCGCGAAAGCGUGGGGAGCAAACAGGAUUAGAAACCCUGGUAGUCC